This 444-nucleotide ribosomal RNA is filed under the name Triticum aestivum (bread wheat). RNAcentral describes it as "partial small subunit ribosomal RNA". Lineage: Eukaryota; Viridiplantae; Streptophyta; Magnoliopsida; Poales; Poaceae. The record is from RNAcentral.
AUGCGUGCAGGCAUAGAGGAGGUAUUUCCGUUGGCAGUGCACAGGCACUGCAGGUGGCACAAUAUAAAGAAGGCUGAAGAGACACUAGGACCAUUCUUUGCUGACCGUCUAGAGCUCCACAAGGCGUUCGAGCUGUGCGUGGACCACAUCUUGACGGUGGAGGAGUUUGAAAGGAGCUGGAUGGCCAUGAUUGAAACAUAUCAAGUCCAAGACAACGAGACGCUUGCUAACCUGUGGGAGAAGUGCAUGUACUGGGUGCCGGCCUACUUCAUGCAGUGCUUCUUCCCCUUUUUGCAGACUACGCAGCGCAGCGAGGGGUUCAAUGCUGUUUUGAAGCGGUACGUGAGCCCUGGCAACUCAUUUCUACAGUUUGCCAAGCAGUACACAGUUUGCAACAAAAAAUUCUGGGAUCUGAGCUACAGCAAGAAGCGACCACAACACUAA